GAGUUUGAUCUUGGCUCAGGACGAACGCUGGCGGCGUGCCUAAUACAUGCAAGUCGAGCGAAUCAAUAGGAGCUUGCUUCUGUUGGUUAGCGGCGGACGGGUGAGUAACACGUGGGCAACCUGCCUGUAAGACUGGGAUAACACCGGGAAACCGGUGCUAAUACCGGAUAACUCUUUCCCUCUCAUGAGGGAAAGUUGAAAGUCGGUUUCGGCUGACACUUACAGAUGGGCCCGCGGCGCAUUAGCUAGUUGGUGAGGUAACGGCUCACCAAGGCGACGAUGCGUAGCCGACCUGAGAGGGUGAUCGGCCACACUGGGACUGAGACACGGCCCAGACUCCUACGGGAGGCAGCAGUAGGGAAUCUUCCACAAUGGACGAAAGUCUGAUGGAGCAACGCCGCGUGAGCGAUGAAGGCCUU
Molecule: ribosomal RNA, 419 nt
Filed under: uncultured Bacillus sp.
Lineage: Bacteria; Bacillati; Bacillota; Bacilli; Caryophanales; Bacillaceae
Description: bacterial SSU rRNA
Rfam family: Bacterial small subunit ribosomal RNA
Source: RNAcentral